UGGUGGCACAAACAACAAGAAAGUAGACAGAGCUGAAGAUACUGCGAUUCUCUUUGGGUGUGAUGAGAAUGGCCAGGAUUGGGAAUGAACAUAUCAGACGGACAACCCAGGUGGGACGGUUUGGAGACAAAGUCAGAGAGGUGAGACUGAGAUGGUUUGGACAUGUGCAGAGG
Molecule: long non-coding RNA, 173 nt
Organism: Thalassophryne amazonica
Lineage: Eukaryota; Metazoa; Chordata; Actinopteri; Batrachoidiformes; Batrachoididae
Exons: 3
Source: RefSeq, a predicted model, not a curated record